RNAcentral lists this ribosomal RNA (30 nucleotides) under Suillus paluster. Its description in RNAcentral is "partial 18S ribosomal RNA". The record is from RNAcentral. Lineage: Eukaryota; Fungi; Basidiomycota; Agaricomycetes; Boletales; Suillaceae.
UUUCGGUAGGUACCUGCGGAAGGAUCAUUA